UGACAGCUUGCUUACUCUCAUUA
This 23-nucleotide non-coding RNA is filed under the name Mus musculus (house mouse). Lineage: Eukaryota; Metazoa; Chordata; Mammalia; Rodentia; Muridae. The record is from RNAcentral.